GUAUAUACCAAUAUGGCAAAUUCCCGAACACGAUACGCUUCGACUGAAAAUCCGCGUGUCGGUAGUUCAAUUCUACCCCUGGGCACCA
This 88-nucleotide transfer RNA is filed under the name Alphaproteobacteria bacterium. RNAcentral describes it as "tRNA-OTHER". Lineage: Bacteria; Pseudomonadati; Pseudomonadota; Alphaproteobacteria. The record is from RNAcentral.